RNAcentral lists this ribosomal RNA (449 nucleotides) under uncultured bacterium. RNAcentral's name for it is "bacterial SSU rRNA". It matches the Rfam family "Bacterial small subunit ribosomal RNA", at positions 171 to 623 of the family's 1533-position model. The record is from RNAcentral.
GGAUGUGUCGUAGCAAUACGAGAAAAGGCCCGCAAGGGGUCGCCAGAGGACGGGUCCGCGUCCCCAUCAGCUAGUUGGUGAGGUAAUGGCUCACCAAGGCGAAAGACGGGUAGCUGGUCUGAGAGGAUGAUCAGCCACACUGGAACUGAGACACGGUCCAGACUCCUACGGGAGGCAGCAGUGGGGAAUAUUGCGCAAUGGGCGAAAGCCUGACGCAGCCACGCCGCGUGAGCGAUGAAGGUCUUCGGAUCGUAAAGCUCUGUGGGGGAGAAGAAGAAAGUCGGUGAAGAGCCGGCCCUGACGGUAUCCCCUUAGCAAGCACCGGCUAACUCCGUGCCAGCAGCCGCGGUAAUACGGAGGGUGCAAACGUUGCUCGGAAUCAUUGGCGUAAAGACGCGCGUAGGCGGCUGAACAAGUUGGAUGUGAAGCCUGGCUCAACCUAGGAUGUG